GUCUUGUAGAUUAAAAUUAUAAGUCUGUUCUGCCCACUGAAAUUAUUUAAAGGCUGCAGUAUAUUGACUGUACAAAGGUAGCAAAAUCAAUUGUUUUUUAAUUGAAAACUGGAAUGAAAGAAUUGAUGAAAUAAUGAUUGUUUCAAAAUUAAAAAUUGAAUUUAAAUUUUAAGUUAAAAUGCUUAAAUAGAUUUAUUAGACGAGAAGACCCUAUAGAAUUUUAUAAAAUUUUUUAUAAUAAAUUAAAUUGUAAAUUGAUUUAUAAUAAAAAUUAUAUUUUAUUGGGAGGAUAAUUAAAUUAAAUAAACUUUAAUUUUUUUAAAAACAUAGAUUAAUGAAUAUUUGAUUAUUUUUAUAAUUAAAAGAAUAAAUUACCUUAGGGAUAACAGCGUAAUAUUUUUGGAGAGAUCAUAUUGAAAAAAAUGAUUACGACCUCGAUGUUGAAUUAUGAUAUAAUUUAGAUGAAGAAAUUUAAAUUGUUAGUCUGUUCGACUAUUAAAAUCAUACA
Molecule: ribosomal RNA, 508 nt
Filed under: Zeta mendozanum
Lineage: Eukaryota; Metazoa; Arthropoda; Insecta; Hymenoptera; Vespidae
Description: partial 16S ribosomal RNA
Rfam family: Bacterial large subunit ribosomal RNA (bases 382-508)
Source: RNAcentral